CAAACGACUCUCGGCAAUGGAUAUCUCGGCUCUCGCAUCGAUGAAGAACGUAGCGAAAUGCGAUACCUGGUGUGAAUUGCAGAAUCCCGCGAACCAUCGAGUCUUUGAGCGCAAGUUGCGCCCGAGGCCUUCGGGCCGAGGGCACGCCUGCCUGGGCGUCACGC
RNAcentral lists this ribosomal RNA (164 nucleotides) under Canna glauca. RNAcentral's name for it is "5.8S ribosomal RNA". It matches the Rfam family "5.8S ribosomal RNA". From Rfam's summary of the family: 5.8S ribosomal RNA (5.8S rRNA) is a component of the large subunit of the eukaryotic ribosome. It is transcribed by RNA polymerase I as part of the 45S precursor that also contains 18S and 28S rRNA. Lineage: Eukaryota; Viridiplantae; Streptophyta; Magnoliopsida; Zingiberales; Cannaceae. The record is from RNAcentral.